CUUUGUUUUUAUUUAUUUUUAUUGCAUAUAUGACAUUUUUACCAGAAUUCCUUACCACCCCCCCAAAACGUGUUAUUAAUUAAACACACUUUAAGAAGUUGCAAUAAAGGAAGAACCAUGCACAGUAGCGAUCAUUUUCAUUGACCUUCUAUUACUGAUUCAAUUUAGAAAUGGUAUUUGCAUACCAAAUUAACCAGUAUAAGAUAUUAACACAAGUUUGUUUAUUUUUCUUCAAACUUUGCCCAUUGUUGCUGUCACAAAUUUUGUAAUGUCCAAUUAGCAAAACAUCUGGCAGGUUCGAAAAGGUUUGAAGAUCAAGAAACGUAUGUUCCUUUUCCAAGCUGUUCUGGUCUUUCAACACACAGCCAGCCCAAAUUUGAAUUAUUCGUCAGAACCUACUGUAUGGGUCCAAAUGAAAGUGCAUUCUCCCGCCAGAAAACACAAUUGACCAAGCUAUAACUCAGUUGGUAGACAAUGGUGCAUGAAACUGAUGCAAUGAUGAGGCCACUAUGGAUGUCUGUCGUGUCCAGUUUUUUGGUUGCAAUUGUUUCAGUUUGGACAUCAAAGAUUCCCCAUCUCUAGCAUUUUGCUGUUUUUUUAUGUUGCCAGAGCACUGUACAUUCCUGCAACAAUAUUUUAUCUUUCAAACCCAUACUGCAAAUUCCUUCAUAUACAGUUUUAGCUGUUUCGUAAUGACUGUUCAGUCAUUUUCUCCAUAAUGUUUUCUGACAGACUACUCAACAUUAUGGACAUGCUGAAGAGGGAUGCAUUCCCAUCACCUGUUGAUAUUUUGGGGGGUUUUGCUUAAGGCACUUUCAUUGAUAUUUUGGUAAAUCAAAAGGUAGGACUUUUUUAGUCUUAGAAAUAGAGAAAACACCAAAUUAUAUCAGUGUAUUUGAAUGUAAUAGUAGAAAAACAUAACAUUUUCUCAAUAAAUAAUCAUGUUUAAAAAAAUUAUAAUGAAAUAGCUUUCGGUUAAAUCAUGAUGUUUAGAUGUAACUGUUUGAGAAUGCCACUGAGAACCAGUAAUGGGUGUAUCAACAAUGAUUUUGUACUCAACAAAUGUAAGUAUAUUUUUGUUAAUGCAUUUGAUUGAGUUAUAACAUAUCAUGAUUAAUUGUCCUGAAUGUCCUGAAAAUACUUAAACGACAGUAAUCUACACCACUUCUGUAGAAUUACCCAUAUCUCUAAAAAAUUAUUACAAUGAAUGACCACAUGGAUCAAAAAGAUUCAGAUAAGCCAUGGAGUAGGCUACCAUAGUACAAACUUUCACUAAUAGAAACCUUUGUUUUUCAUUGUUUUUGUUUAUUUACCUUUUUAAUGCAUCAGCCUGUUUAUAUCUAAUUUGUUUCCUGCAGACCUUAUUUCAUAUUUGGUACCUACCGCUGUCCUAUUUCUGGGGGCUUUUGUUUGGCCUAAUCUUCAUGUGGGGUUGAGGUUGGAAAUUAAAUGAUGUUGCACUAGAAAACUGAGUGAAACUCAGAGAAUGUCAUAGCUAAACUAAAGAGUGACCUCUUUUUGUGAUGGCUGAAGAAAUACUGUCCCUUAAUAUGUAUGUAACGUAAUAUGUUCUAAUUUACCAUGUUUACGUUAGUGUAGCACUUCACUAUUUAUAGAUAUAGAGUCUACAAGAAAUUAGCACUAAUUUGGCAAUGUAUUUUAGUCCAAUGUGUUAAAACUACAUUGUAUUGUAUGAAAUCAAUUUGCAGAUGGGAUUGUUGGAUUGUAGUGAGUGGGUGCUGUGGUCCCACCAUUUUGGACAAUGUGCUCUGCAGGGUCUGCACACAGUAGCCUUACACUGAGCUGUUAAAUUUUCCUCAACUAACUGCUUUGUGUCCAGAUCAGAUCCUCAGUUCCGACACUAACCAUUUAAUUUGAACUAUAUCUCAAUUUGUCUAGUGUGGUCCCGAAAGAAUAGGUUCCACAUUAACUAGUUUCUUUCAUACGUUUUUUCUAACAAGGAAAUCCGUAAGCUAUCCUAUUUAGAUGUUGACACGCCGUGGAUUAUAUUCUUUGCAAUGGUGGGCUUUGACAAAGCAGACCAAAGUUGACAUUUUUUAUCUAACAACACAAUGCUUCCUAUUGAACGUUUACAGAUAUUGUAAUACAUUUCAGUAAAGUUGGAGCUGUCAUAAGACUGACAAAUGUAAUAGAUGUGCAUGUGAAUCUUCAGAAUACAGAAAAUCUCUGUAUAAAAAUAGUUAAGUUAUUAUUUGUGUUUGGACAUAAUGAGAGCACCAGAAUUGUCCUAUUAAAUUACUAGUAGGGCAAUGUCAUAAGUUUCAGAAUCUGGUCUAAAUGUCUAGGAAGAAACCCAAACCAGCCUAAUAUAAAUCAAUGACAGUAGAUUUGUAGGUGAUGGAUUUCCUGCUUCUACUUAUGCAGGAAAAUAAAAUUAAUCUAUGUGAUAUCUGAAAUUGUGUAAUAAAAUUAUUGUCAACCUAAAAUAUUGUCAUAUAAUUAUAAUUACUGUUUAUACAGCUUUUAUAAAAUGUUUCUGUAUAAUU
This is a long non-coding RNA of Esox lucius (northern pike), 2507 nucleotides long. Lineage: Eukaryota; Metazoa; Chordata; Actinopteri; Esociformes; Esocidae. The record is from Ensembl.